RNAcentral lists this ribosomal RNA (1578 nucleotides) under metagenome. RNAcentral describes it as "bacterial LSU rRNA". It matches the Rfam family "Bacterial large subunit ribosomal RNA", at positions 1325 to 2925 of the family's 2925-position model. The record is from RNAcentral.
GAAUCCUCUAGGCCGAAUAUCCAAGGUUUCCAGGGUAAAGCUGAUCUGCCCUGGGUGAGUCGGGACCUAAGGUGAGGGCGGGAGCCGUAGCCGAUGGACAACAGGUUGAUAUUCCUGUACUGCAGUAUAACAGAACUGUGGGGACACGUAAGGAGAGCGGGAGCCGGGAAUGGAAAGCCCGGUACAAGCGAGGUACCAGUAUGGUAGGAAAAACCGCCAUGCAAUGGGAAGACGUGAUGUGGAGUGAAAUAUAGUAACGAAGCCCGUGAGCCAUGCGUCAAGAAAAGCCGCUAUUGUUUAUAUUGUACCCGUACCGUAAACCGACACAGGUGGAUGAGGAGAGAAUCCUAAGGCCGGCGGAAGAAGUAUUGCCAAGGAACUCGGCAAAAUGGCCCCGUAACUUAGGGAGAAGGGGUGCCUGCGAGAGCAGGCCGCAGAGAAUAGGCUCAAGCAACUGUUUAGCAAAAACACAGGUCUAUGCGAAACCGAAAGGUGAGGUAUAUGGGCUGACGCCUGCCCGGUGCUGGAAGGUUAAGAGGAGAGGUUAGACGCAAGUCGAAGCUUUGAAUUUAAGCCCCAGUAAACGGCGGCCGUAACGAUAACGGUCCUAAGGUAGCGAAAUUCCUUGUCGGGUAAGUUCCGACCCGCACGAAAGGCGUAAUGAUUUGAGCGCUGUCUCGGCAAUACAUCCGGUGAAAUUGAAGUGCCAGUGAAGAUGCUGGCUACCCGCGCCAGGACGGAAAGACCCCAUGGAGCUUUACUCCAGUUUGGCACUGGGGUCCGGUGUUGCAUGUACAGGAUAGGUGGGAGGCUGAGAGAUAGUGACGUCAGUUGCUAUGGAGCCGCUGUUGGGAUACCACCCUUGUGAUAUUGGGCUUCUAACCAGCCGCCGUAAUCCGGCGGUGGGACAAUGCCAGGCGGGGAGUUUGACUGGGGCGGUCGCCUCCGAAAGGGUAUCGGAGGCGCCCAAAGGUUCCCUCAGAAUGGACGGAAACCAUUCGAAGAGUGCAAAGGCAGAAGGGAGCUUGACUGCGACACCGACGGGUGGAGCAGGUACGAAAGUAGGGCUUAGUGAUCCGGUGGUAUUAAGUGGGAAUGCCAUCGCUCAACGGAUAAAAGCUACCCUGGGAUAACAGGCUUAUCACUCCCAAGAGUUUACAUCGACGGAGUGGUUUGGCACCUCGAUGUCGGCUCAUCGCAUCCUGGGGCUGUAGUAGGUCCCAAGGGUUGGGCUGUUCGCCCAUUAAAGCGGUACGCGAGCUGGGUUCAGAACGUCGUGAGACAGUUCGGUCCCUAUCCGGCGUGGGCGUAGGAUAUCUGAGAGGAGCUGUCCUUAGUACGAGAGGACCGGGAUGGACGGACCGCUGGUGGACCGGUUGGCUUGCCAAAGCCAUGGCCGGGUAGCCAAGUCCGGAAGGGAUAAACGCUGAAGGCACCUAAGCGUGAAGCCCCCCUCAAGAUGAGAUAUCCCAUUCUUUAAGAAGUAAACCCCCUUGAAGACGACGAGGUAGAUAGGGCAGAGGUGGAAGUGUGGUAACACAUGGAGCUGACUGUUACUAAUCGGGUGAGGGCUUGAUC